AAAGCUGAUUGUGUUUCUAAGCUAGCCUUGCUAGCUUGCGAGCCAGGUGACAUAUAUUGUGCGAGACGAGCGAUGUAGUUCACUGAGCGGUUUCACACAAAACUAAGUGGUACU
Sander lucioperca (pikeperch) is the source of this 114-nucleotide long non-coding RNA. RefSeq lists it as uncharacterized. Lineage: Eukaryota; Metazoa; Chordata; Actinopteri; Perciformes; Percidae. The transcript is spliced from 3 exons. The record is from RefSeq and is a predicted model, not a curated record.